CAAGAAGUCCUGCGCAGGCCCAAGGCCACUUUUGGGGUCACCAGGUGACCCAUAGGAAGCCUUCUGUGACAGAGACGUCUGCUCGGAAGUCUCUCCAUCCACUUAAGGCUCCAGGAGCCGCCGGUCUCUAGUGAUUCCAAAGGACGCUUUGGAGUCAGCCAGAGCCCGGUUUCCAUUAGCCAAAGAAAGGCAAUGGGUAAUCCCCAGUCCAAAAUUCCGCGAGACACCCCUUUAGGGUGUUUAUUAGGCAACCUAAAAAACCUACAAUUAGAGCGGGAUCUAAAGUGAAAGCGACUAAUUUUCCUCUCCACUGUGGCGUGGCCGCAAUGUAAACUAGACAAUCAGUCCCAAUGGCCGCCUGAAGGCACCCUAGAUCGUAAUAUUUUAAUCGACCUCGGCAAUUUUUGCCGGCGCCUAGGCAAGUGGUCUGAAAUGAAUUAUAUACAAGGAUUUUGGGAUUUACGCUCUCGACCAGACUUAUGUAGUCAGUGCUCCUUGGCCCAAGUUAUGUUGGCCAGGGCUGGGGUCCCCGUGGGGUGGGACAAAGAGGAGUCAUCCUUCCUGUCCGACCUGCCCGAGGAUCUCAGAAACUCCCAUUUCAGACCUCCAGCAGCCGCCUCCCCUCCUCUUCCACCCUAUACUCCGCCCCCUUCCACUUCCACCUCUACCUUGGCUCCACCUGCCGCCCCUUUCCCCGCCCCCUCGGCACCUCCCUCUCGCCACCUUGAUUCACCCAUAUCCUCUCAUACCCGUUCCAAAAAUUGUUCAGGGCCUGCUCCUUCCCCCACUCCUACCCCUCAACCCCCUACGGUCCUGCCCCCGCUACUCGAGGUGGCCGGUGCAGAAGGUGUAGUCAGGGUCCAUGUCCCUUUCUCACUAGCAGAUCUUUCCAAGAUUGAAAAACGCUUAGGAGACUUCUCUGCCAACCCUACGGUUUAUACCGAAGAAUUCAGGACCCUGGGAGCUCCUUCCAGCUCUUACACCUAGACGACGACUGAAAGCGCCUGGACUCGGGGACCCCCAUCACCCUCGCUCGAGCCUCGGGUAACUUCAGGUAGCGGGAUCCAAGAAAUCACCCGAGUCACCUUCAAUCAAAUGCUCCUGCAUCCCUACACCCAACUGCCAACCUCAGACCCUAACUACGCCCCUUAACAGCAGGAAGCAGCCAGCCAGACCACGGCGCCCCAGAUUGUUAUAAUCAAUAAGAGGUUGGACUGUCUGGGUGAAGGGGAAAAGGACAAGAUGGAGGAAGGAGAAUAGAAAAGAUGCAGCCCCUACUACUUCCAGGUUCUUCAUCCAACUUACCCGCAUGUGGGAAAAUGCAGCCCGCGCCAGGAAAAAAGCAGACCAAUGGAGCAGGCGUGAGGUGAGGACAAUUUGAGGAAACAGAAACUUACUAUGGAGACGUCCCUGGCACGCCCUUAUCCCACCCACUGCCCUCCCAUUUCCAAGCCGAGGACAUAAAAGUCGAGGCCGGCAGGCACCGGUGCGAACUUCCCCGGCCCCAUUGCUUGUGGACCGAGGAACCUCACCGGAGAGCGCCGGCUCGACUUCUCUGGCCCCACUUAGAGGACCGGUGAACCUCGCCCAAGAGCCCUGACCUGUUGGUCAAUAAAGUUCUUUCUUUUCUACCA
This is a non-coding RNA of Macaca mulatta (Rhesus monkey), 1634 nucleotides long. NCBI's taxonomy places the organism in Eukaryota, Metazoa, Chordata, Mammalia, Primates, Cercopithecidae. The record is from RefSeq and is a predicted model, not a curated record.